AUUGAACGCUGGCGGCAUGCCUUACACAUGCAAGUCGAACGGCAGCACGGGAGCAAACGUGUGGCGAGUGGCGAACGGGUGAGUAAUAUAUCGGAACGUGCCCAGUCGUGGGGGAUAACGCAGCGAAAGCUGUUCUAAUACCGCAUACGAUGUACGGAUGAAAGCGGGGGAUCGGAAGACCUCGGGCGAUUGGAGCGGCCGAGAGCAGAUUAGCUAGUUGGUGAGGGCAAGGCUCAACAAGGCGACGAACGGUAGCUGGUCUGAGAGUACCACCCGCCACACUGGAACUGAGACACGGUCCAGACUCCUACGGGGGGCAGCAGUGGGGCAUUUUGGCCAAUGGGCGAAAGCCUGAUCCAGCAAUGCCGCGUGAAGGAUGAAGGCCUUCGGGUUGUAAACUGCUUUUGUACGGAACGAAACGGUGAGCUCUAAUACAGUUUGCUAAUGGCGGUACCGUAAGAAUAAGCACCGGCUAACUACGUGCCAGCAGCCGCAGUAA
Molecule: ribosomal RNA, 499 nt
Filed under: uncultured bacterium
Lineage: Bacteria
Description: partial 16S ribosomal RNA
Rfam family: Bacterial small subunit ribosomal RNA
Source: RNAcentral